GAGGGCAUAGCUCAGUGGUAGAGCGUGUGCUUAGCAUGCACAAGGUCCUGGGUUCAAUCCCCAGUACCUCCU
This is a transfer RNA of Camelus ferus (Wild Bactrian camel), 72 nucleotides long. It matches the Rfam family "tRNA". From Rfam's summary of the family: Transfer RNA (tRNA) molecules are approximately 80 nucleotides in length. The record is from Rfam. Lineage: Eukaryota; Metazoa; Chordata; Mammalia; Artiodactyla; Camelidae.